AUGGAUCCUCUAAGGAUGGCCGAGCUUCUCCGGCGCAAGGUGGCCGGAGAGCCAUUCCCCUACACCUUCAUCCACGAGGUGAGCCCCUACUCCGCUGCCCCCGAGGACCUCGUCCGUGGCCGGGAGCACGCUCCGGGCACCGGCCAAGCUGGCGACGGCAGAGGGAUGGCGUGGUACUUCUGCAGCGCCGCCAACUGCCAUGAGAGCGCGGGUGGAGCUCCAAGGCGGAACCGCCAGGUCGGCGGCGGCACAGAGAGGAGAUUCUGGCACCCGGAAGGGCGCAAGAAGUCCAUUCCAGGUGAGGCGUACAAGCGCACACUGUCGUACGUUUUGAAGAUGAAGAACCGCCCUGGUGCUUCAAAAUCAUUCCGAAACAAAAGGUUGGGCUGGUGCAUGCUGGAGGUUGGGCUCGAGCAGCAGGACGGCGGCGCCGGCCACCAAGAUCAGUUCGUGCUCUGCAAGGUGUACAGGUCGCCUCACAGUACGGCGGAUGCGCCAGAAACAUCCACGGCCGCCGCCGGCGCAGUGGACGUCGUUCCGGCAUAUCAGCUGGAGUUGAAGACUGGAUGCAGCAUGUCUCCACGCAGGGGCCGCUGGGCUGCACGCUUCCAGAGGAGCCGCUGCACGCCGACAUGGCGCACAUAUGGCCUCGCGCGGAUGCGGAGACCAUCGUGCGCGGCGGCGGCAUGUAAAGUUUCAGAAGCGUUUCUACCUACCGUAGUAGGCCGCUGGUUGCGUGUUUAUAUAGGAUCAGAAUAG
This 759-nucleotide ribosomal RNA is filed under the name Triticum aestivum (bread wheat). RNAcentral describes it as "partial small subunit ribosomal RNA". The record is from RNAcentral. Lineage: Eukaryota; Viridiplantae; Streptophyta; Magnoliopsida; Poales; Poaceae.